UCCACUGUGCAGUGUUCCAGUUCCCAACC
RNAcentral lists this non-coding RNA (29 nucleotides) under Mus musculus (house mouse). Lineage: Eukaryota; Metazoa; Chordata; Mammalia; Rodentia; Muridae. The record is from RNAcentral.